RNAcentral lists this ribosomal RNA (406 nucleotides) under uncultured bacterium. Its description in RNAcentral is "partial 16S ribosomal RNA". It matches the Rfam family "Bacterial small subunit ribosomal RNA", at positions 30 to 526 of the family's 1533-position model. The record is from RNAcentral.
AUUGAACGCUGGCGGCAGGCCUAACACAUGCAAGUCGAGCGCGCGGCGGACGGGUGAGUACUGUCUGGGAAACUGCCUGAUGGAGGGGGAUAACUACUGGAAACGGUAGCUAAUACCGCAUACCCUCAGAUGUGCCCAGAUGGGGUUAGCUCGUAGGUGGGGUAACGGCUCACCUCGGCGACGAUCCCUAGCUGGUCUGAGAGGAUGACCAGCCACACUGGAACUGAGACACGGUCCAGACUCCUACGGGAGGCAGCAGUGGGGAAUAUUGCACAAUGGGCGCAAGCCUGAUGCAGCCAUGCCGCGUGUGUGAAGAAGGCCUUCGGGUUGUAAAGCACUUUCAGCGGGGAGGCGUUACCCGCAGAAGAAGCACCGGCUAACUCCGUGCCAGCAGCCGCGGUAAUUC